CAUUUUUCAUAAUCCAAUGGCCACGAACUGAUCUCAUACAUGGAUAAAAUUGUCCGAAAAUCCCUCAGUAAUCCUAGACCAAGCUCAUCUUCCUCGUACCUUUCUGUUGCACCACCGUCUGUCCCCGCCAGAAAUCGCCCACGGCGCCGGCGAAGCUCUAAUCAACCUCAAAUUUCUACACCAUAAGCCUCUCUUCUUCCCCGUUCCACUCCCAUCAUCAUCUUCUUCCAAAACCCAGCCCAAAUCUUCGAAUUUCAAAUCUAAAUAUUAGUGAAAAACUUUAGUCCGUCUAAAUCCUACAAAAUCGAUACCAAACGAUUCCUUGACCUCCCUUUCCAUGAUUCCUCGACUUAAAAUUCUUCGAGCCACUUUGAAGUUCAUCUAACAGUGGGUCAAGGGUGUUAUCAAUUUGGGGUAGCUUUGAAUAUUUUGGAGGUCGAGUCGAUUUUCCGUUAACGUUAUUUGCUUAUUUUGGGUUAAAUAAGCAAAUAACAUUAACCGAAUUUCGAUUCCGAUGGGGUUUUUCCGGGUGAAGUCUGUGUAAGUUUCUUAUUUAGUUUUUCUUGGUUUCAUUUGUUUGUCUUUGUUAGUUUUUGUGUAAUUCAUGUUCUCUCUGUCCUCUCACUUUAUUUCUAUUUAACAACUUUUUUAAAAUAAAUAAAAUUGAUUUAGUUAAGCUCAACCCUUUUGAUUGAUUAGAUGUAUUUCGGGAGUUUCUGUUUUGGUUCACCUCUUUGAUUCCUUGAUUAAUCCUUUGGUGCAAUUCUUUGUUUGGUCGAAGCCUGUUUUCCUUGUGUGUUCUUCUUUUCUUCUUCUGUUCAAGCAAUGUUCUAAUUUUGUUAGUUAGUUAAUCAAUUACUAAUUAGUCGUUUGUUUUAGUUAAUUUCAGUUGACUUUUGUUAGAUAACUCAUUUGGAUUAAUUUAAGUUAAGUGUUAGUUGUUUAGUAUUUGUGAGUAUUAUUUAGUUUCUUUGUUAGGUUGGAUGAAUUGGAUAUAGCUUAAUUUUAGUUAACUUGGGUUAAAAUCAUAGCUGGGGUAAGGGAGUUGGGCCAAUUAGCUUAGGUUGUAAUUUGCAGGGCAGUAGAAGGGCAUUUUAAGAAUGGAAAAUGGCAAUAUCUUUAGGAAAAGUAAAGUCAAGACAAUAAAGGGGUAAUAUAGGAAUUGCUUAGUCAAAAGAGCAUCCUAGAGGCUUCUAGAAUAGGGUACAAGUGUAGAUUUCAGCUUUUUAAUAGCACUUGCUUGGGUAGCAAGUUAGAAAUAGAAGGGUUAAAAUAAAAAGAAAGAGGGACUGAUUUGAAAACCCUACUGCUGAUUUUUCAUCUUUGUUUAUCUAUAAAAAUAAUCAUUUGCAUGAAAAGGGGUGUUCUGUUUUUUUAGCUAUAAAAAUCCCAGAGAAUUCCAGCCACCUGAAUGACAUUUUUCCUUUUCAUUUUUCAGUUUUCAAUUCGAAAUUCCAAGUACAAAACCCAAAAACAAUAGAAAAACCUAAAUAUACUAUUGUUCCAUUGCAUUUUUAGUUCAGUUUCAAGGUGUGGUGUGAAUUUGCAUAGCUUGGUUUCAAGUUCUGAUUUCCAAAGUUUCUGAUCAUGUUUGGGUGCCAUUUCGACUCAUUUUGGAUAUAUUCGAGCUAGCCUAGUUUUUUUCUGGGGUUCAUCUUCGCUUCUGGAAUUGAUCUGCUGGUUUUGAAUUUGGUGUUGAACAUUUUGAACCAUUCAAAUUGCAUCUGAGCUGCUGUUGUUUCCUGUUGCUGCGAUUUGUUGAUUUGAACUGCUGCUAACCAUCCUCUUUUCUUCUGUUACUUUGAACUUCCAGGUACUUCUUUGGCUAUGUAUGAACUAUGCCUAAUCAGUGUAGAUCUGACUUGAAGGAUUGUAUGUCAAAAUGAAGUUGAUUUGAUUUCCAAAGCUUAUCCUAUUUUGUCAUAGUUUGAAGGUGUAUAACUGUCAUGUUAUUAGAAACUAGGCCUCAUUUGUGUUAUUGGGAAUGCCUGAACCUGAUUGUUUUGAAUCGACAAAUCGUUUAUCAUGUCGUAUGAGUAUUCAUCUAGUAGCUUGUUAACAGAAAGUCGGCUCUUAGCAGAUUAGUUUGAAUAGUCGAAGUUAGAGUAUAGAAUUUCAAUAUGUUAGUUUAAAUGACAUUGUUUGUUUCGAGAUCAGUUGGUCUCUGUUAAUUCUUUGUUAUUAGAUCAUGUUAUCAGGUGCUAGUUUGAGACCAUAUUUGAAUUAGUGAUAUUGUUGGCCCAGUCAGUCAAUAAAUCAAAUAGGGCCAUUUGAAUGGAUUAUUGUUAGAUUCUGAAUGGGCUAGUGUAACACCUUUGAUUUGUGCAAAUAAUUGAUAAUAAAUGGCUACAAUUCGUUCUCUAACAGUAAGGAAGUAAUUGAAGAAGCUAGUGUUAAACUUGGAUUUUGAAGUAUAUGUUCUCUAACAGACAGGAAGUAAUUGAAGAAGCUAGUGUUAAACUUGGAUUUUGAAGUAUAUAAUAAUAGUUGCUCACUUGUAUUAAGUUCGGAAGCGAGGAAGCGGCAAACUGGCGUUUGGAUUGAUUGUGAAUGAAAGGCAUGGUAUGCCGUCCAAGUUCGAACUUGGGUCAUUGGCCUGCGUUUUUGCGUGGAAAUUGGGCCAACGUUUGGGCCCGACCCCUUUCAAUCGUUUAAGGUCUCAAUUGAUUUUUAAAAUUUGGGUUUUGAGUUAGAUAGCGGGUUUUAAACUAAAAGGCUCGUUCUUUUGUUUGGACCCGGAUUUGAACUUAAGGGCCGGAUUUUAAUAUAAUCAUUUAGGACCUUUCUUUCUUUAUUAGAAACCCAAAACCAAAAAUAGAAAAUAAAGUUAUUUUUAGGUUUAUCGUUUUAAAAUAAAUGAGACGAGCCUCGCAAAAUAAAAAUACAAAUUGCGGGGCCCUCAAUAAUGGUUUGAAAGAUAUUUUGAUAAUUGGGAAGGGCCGUUUAGCGAAUUUCACGGCCCUCCCAAAAGAAUACAACGCGUUAGACUCUAUUAGGCACGACUUUAAUAAAUUAUAUCCCUAAAUACGGGUAGGAAUUUUAUGCGACCCAAAUUUAAAUCCUAAAACGUUGAAUAGAGUGUGCCUAAGAUUGCGGGUUCAUUUGAUGCGGUGCAAUCCGAAUACACGCUUUAUACGACGUUCACUUUCUCCAAUAAAUAUUAUGUUGAAUAAAAGCGGUAAAAAGUAAAAAUUGGCACAUAGGCAUAUCAUGUAUAAAAAUUAGAUUUUAGCCAUUCAUAGAAAUUUAAGCGACCGUGCUAGAACCACGGGAUCCGAGGGUGCCUAACACCUUCCCUCGGGUUAAUGGAACUUCUGGUUCGCAGACUCCAUUCGGAACUCGAAAUUUUCCUCGGUUCGGGAUUCAAGAAAAUUGGUGACUUGGGACACCAAAAACCAGCCUUUCCCAAGUGGCGACGUUGAAUAAAUAAAUAAUCUCGAUCCGAAUAAUGUCACUUUAAAAUGGAAAAACUCCCUUAUACAUUAUCCUUCGGGGUAGGUGUGUAAAAAGAAGGUGUGACAGCUCUGGCGACUCUGAUGGGGACAUGAACCUAGAACGUUUUGUUCAGGGUUCAGAAUUUGAGCUUAGAAUAUUUGUUAUGUUUAGCUUUAUCUGAUUCUGUUACAUGAUAUGUGCUUAAUGUGCUAAUUGAUUGCUUUUACCGCUUUCAUAUUACGUGAACUGUAUAUAAACUGUGCCGAAUGUUAUGUUUAGCUUUAUCUGAUUCUGUUACAUGAUAUGUGCUUAAUGUGCUAAUUGAUUGCUUUUACCGCUUUGGUAUUACGUGAACUAUAUAUAUACUGUGUCGAACCAAAUCUCCUCCCUGAGUCUUCUGAAUUGUGAAGAAAGGUGUACGACGUACGACUUCUUUUCUGUCUAGUGUCCAAUACCAAUUUAGAACGAGGUUUGGAAAAGUCGCAAAGCCGGGGAAGCUUCUGUAUUCCCGGAUUGCCGCCUCCCCCUCGGCUCGAGUUAUCCGCUCGGGUAAGCUAGGUCUAGAACAAAUACCCAGGUUUUGAACCUAGAAUAACUCAGCCUCAUGCCGGACCCCUAGUAGGAACGUUUAUUUGCAUCAUGUGCAUUUUGACUUAGGAGACUCAAUACAGGGGUUGGGUCCGUCUAGGGCUAGCAACCUGAAAUGAAAAGACCAUCCUGAUACAUCCUACUUGUUUUCUAUGCAUUUAUUUGCUAGGGCUUGCAUGUUGACCGCCUUUUUUGAAUCUUGGAGAUGUUAGAAAAAUGAGAAAAAUAGAAAGUCGGAGAGUUAACUGAUUAAUUUAGAAAAACCCAAUGUCCAAAUGCUAUCUGAACUCUUCCGGAAUUUUGAAAAUUGGAAGAAAGAAAACAUGUUUUUAAGUAUGUUUACCAAAGAUCAAAAAUGGUUUGAAAAAGAUUUUGUCUCAAAAUUAGUUAGCUUAUUUGGAUGAACUACGCCGGUUUGAUUCUCACAGGGCGUGGGAUACGUAGGCAACCCUCAUCGGGUCCAACCUUUCCCUUUUUAAAAAAUAACCAAAAAUUCCAAGAUUUUCAACUUUUUGUCUAAGUCAGGUGAAGUCGUUUGCACAAAAAUAGCCAAAUGUUCCCAAACGGAACACCGGAAGGCUGACCUUGCAUAAAUAGCCACCUUUGAUCUCAUUUUGAUUUUUUUUGACCCUCACAGAAUUCAGUUCUCAUCCACGAGGCAUUGAAAGGUCGUGUUGGCAAUAGUCGGUCGCUUAUUUUGAAAAAAAGGGGAAAAGAGAGUUGUAAAUAAGUCAAGUAAGGUCGUUUUGUCAUAAACAACCGAAUGUUCCCGAAAGGAACGCCGGAAGGCUGAAUUUGCAUAAACGGUCGUUUUUUGUCAAUUGUGAUUUUGACUGGUUGACUACACAACCUUAAAAUCUUUUUUGCGAAGUGCUGAAAUGACGUGUUUGAAAAUCGAGUCUUUUCCAAUUUGAAAACACACAAACAACAUAUAGAAAGUUUUACCUUUUUGAGUUGAAUAAGGUUUCUCUUUUGCUUAAUCGCCUUAAUAAAUGUGCAGGAUGAGCACAAAUCAAAUUGAACCAUUCUCAGUCUUUAGCAAGGUCCCUCUAAAGCUCCACAUAGGGUGGAAUGAUUUGGGAGAUGAUAGUAAAAACAGUGGAAAGAAUUUUAGGAGGUCUCGUCAGUCUCUUAUAUAUCAAGCCAAGAACAGAUGUCAUUGAAGCGUUAAUACCGUUCAGGGAUCCAACCCGUAAUGUAUUCCGCUUUAUAGACUUUGAGCUUACACCUACACUAGAGGAGGUUGCGGGUUAUACAGGUUUAGAUGGAAAAUUGAGGAGAAAUAUUUGCUUUCACCUAGACCGGUGUCUCCACAUGGGUUUUUGAAUUUGCUACACAUUAAUCGGAAGGUGCAAGAUGACGAUUUCUCAAAAGGUUAUUGUGCUCUUGAAUUUUUAUAUCAGCGGUAUGGUACUCCUCGGGGUUUUGAAGAACCGAAUCUCGGAAUGACUCAUGACGGGGACAGAAACAAGUGGGAGGCAAAGCCAAUGGUGUUGUCGAAGCAGCGAACAAACUCAAAAGGUUAUUGUGCUCUUCAAUUUUUAUAUCAGCGGUAUGGUACUCCUCGGGGUUUUGAAGAACCGAAUCUCGGAAUGACUCAUGACGGGGACAGAAACAAGUGGGAGGCAAAGCCAAUGGUGUUGUCGAAGCAGCGAACAAAAACAUCAAGAAGAUUUUGAGAGAGACAAUCCAAAGCUGUAAGCAGUGGCAUGAACAAUUACCUUUUGCCUUACUAGGAUAUCGCACUACAGUGCGCACAUCGGUAGGAACAACUCCAUAUCUGUUAUUCUAUGGAACUGAGACUGUGAUCCCAGCAGAAGUGGAAAUCUUUUCGCUUUGGACAAUUGUUGAAGCAAAAAUUGAAGAUAGUGAGUGGGUUAAAACUCGAUUGGAAAAAUUGACAUUGAUCGUUGAGAAAUAGAUGGCUUCCGUUUGUCAUGGGAAAUUGUAUCAACAAAGAAUGGCUCGCGCCUAUAAAAAGAAAGUACGACCUAGGAAAUUUGAAGUGGGGCAAUUAGUGUUAAAACACAUUCUUCCUCAUCAUCACGAAGCCAAAGGCAAAUUUGCUCCUGACUGGAAAGGUUCGUAUAUCAUCAGGAAGAUACUAGCAAGAGGAGCAUUAUACCUAGGCGAUAUAGAAGGGAAUGAUCCCGAAGCAGCGGUGAAUGCGGAUGCAGUUAAAAGGUACUAUUUCUAAACUUGCUUCGAGGACGUCUUUGUGCAACUCAAAUGAAGAUGGCUUUUAUUCACACUAUCUCUAACUCCAUCAAUCCCUUGCAAACGUUUUGAGUCGGUUACCUUUCCUUGAUUACCCUAUUUGGAACCCAGAAGUACAAAACGAAAAGAAAAGCAAAAAAAUGAAAAAAAGGAAAAGAAGAAAAGAAAAGAAAAACAAAACUGAAACAAAAAAACAAAAUAUCUCCUGAACUACGUUUGACUUGAUUCCAAAAGGAUACGUAGGCAGCUUCUCCCUGAGGUUCAGUCACACCAAAACAAAAAUUCCAAUUCCCCCAAAAAGUGAAACUGGGCAGAUAAUAUAAUGGUUCGGCGAAGAGACUGCCGAAUGGUUCCAAUGUUGUAGUUCCGCCCAAAACCCUUUUACCCUAAAGACCUUGUCCAAGUCCUUCUGAUCAAUUGGCAAAGACAUGAAAGUGGGAAAUGUCAUUUUUGGAAUCUGAUACAAUUCAAAUUGAGAGACACAAAAUGAGAGAGUCGUAUCAGUGAAAACCUUCAGGCGCCAUAAGGCGACGGUGAGUAGAGAAAAUAAAAAUGAGAGAGUCUGCUUAGUGAAAACUCACAAAGAGCACUAUCGGGCGACAGUGAGAAGAAAAAUGAGAGAGGUUGAAAUGGCGAAAACCCGCAAAGGGCGCUGUCGACCGAAAAGAGGAUACUUCAUCACUAAAAGUCCAGGAAAGGUUCCCAAGUUUGGAAAUAUAGGUCAAUGGGUUCAUGAGAAGUUGGAAGUUGGUGCGGGUUGGGCAUCCAGUCCAAGAAGACUGUCAUGUUCAUUUGGAGCCAGCAUGCACCCCAGAUAAGUCCUUCUUUCCCCCCGAAAGGGACGCUUCUCUUUAAACUCAUAUGUUUGCCUUUUGCAUACUUUUCUUUAAAUCCCUUUAGGUUUAACUUUUAUUCCUUAACAAUUACAAAGAAAAGGUGGCAUGACUGGUUUCACAGGGCUCCGCCUGGCAAGAGUAAUAGAAAAUACUCAGCCUCAGUGGUGCGCUAGUCCAAUCCCGACAAACCAUGGUGGUUGAUUGCCUUCAAAGUGAAAGACAUUAGAAAAGAAAGAAAAAUCAAAGGCAAAGAUCUUGAAAGUAGGAUAAAGUAAAAGGACAGAGCCCACAUGGACGAGUCAUCAUAAAACCAUAAGGCUGAACCUGGUCAGUGUAAAAGAAAGUCACCCUCAAAUCCAAACAAGCAAAAAAGUUCUCAAUGGAAAUAGGGUAGGGAUCAAGCGAUGGAGAUGAUCAAGGCCACAAACCAACCACUGUUUCAACUAACAAGUCGUUCUUUGUUGAAAACAGGUCUUAUUCAAAACAGCUUUACAAGAAGCAGAUGCAACCAAAAAAAAAAAAUGCGCGAGUGCUGAAAUAGCUCUGCAGCAGGAUAAACGACCAAAAGAAAGUUUUCUCAAACAUUCUUUCAUGCAUUCUGUUAAAUAAAAAUAAUAACAUAUAAAGAGAAAACCCAAAGAAAAGAAAGAAGAAAAUGAAUAGAAAAUGAAAUUCCAAAAAGUAAACAAAUCAUGGUAGCUUAGAAGAUCUCACUACUUGAAAUAUCCCGACCAAAAAAUCGAGGAUCUCCCGGCCAAAAAACCGUGGAGAUUUUUCUAUCCAAAUCCUGGCCAAAACACCGAGAAUCUCCCGGCCAAAAAACCGUGGAGCUUUUUCUAUCCAAAUCCCGGCCAAAAAACCGAGGAUCUCCUUGCCAAAAAACUAUGGAGCUUUUUCUUUUCCAAAUCCCGGCCAAAAAAUUGAGGAUCUCCCAGCCAAAAACCGUGGAGCUUUUUCUUUUCCAAAUCCCGGCCAAAAACCCGAGGAUCUCCCGACCAAAAAAUCGUGGAGCUUUUUCUAUCCAAUUCCCGGCCAAAAACCCGAGGAUCUCCCGGCCAAAAAAUUGUGGAGCUUUUCCUAUCCAAAUCCUUGCCAAAAAAUCGAGGAUCUCCCAGCCAAAAAACCGUGGAGCUUUUUCUUUUCCAAAUCCCGGCAAAAAAAUUGAGAAUCUCCCGGCAAAAAAGUCGUGGAGCUUUUCUAUCCAAAUCCUGGCCAAAAACCCGAGGAUCUCCAGGCCAAAAAAUCGUGGAGCUUUUUCUAUCCAAAUUUCGGCCAAAAUAUCGAGGAUCUCUUGGCCAAAAAACCGUAAAGCUUUUUCUUUUCCAAAUCCCGGCCAAAAAUCAUGGAGCUUUUUCUAUCCAAAUCCCGGCCAAAAACUCGAGGAUCUCCCGGCCAAAAAACCGUGGAGCUUUUUCUAUCCAAUUCCCGGCCAAAAACCUGAGGAUCUCUUGGCCAAAAAACUGUCGAGCUUUUUCUAUCCAAAUCCCGGCCAAAAAAUCGAGGAUCUCCUGGCCAAAAAUCCGUGGAGCUUUUUCUUUUCCAAAUCCCGGCCAAAAACCUGAAGAUCUCCCGGCCAAAAAACCGUAGAGCUUUUUCUAUCCAAAUCCCGGCCAAAAACUGAGGAUCUCCCGACGAAAAAUUAGUGGAGCUUUUUCUUUUCCAAAUCCCGGCCAAAAAACUGAGGAUCUCCCGGAUAAAAAACUGUGGAGCUUUUUCUAUCCAAAUCUCGGCCAAAAACCGAGGUUCUCCUAGCCAAAAAGUCGUGGAGCUUUUUAUAUCAAAAUCCCGGCCACAAAACCGAGGAUAUCCCGGCCAAUAAUCCAUGGAGAUUUUUCUUUUCCAAAUCUCGGCCAAAAAACCAAGGAUCGCUUGCCCAAAAUACAUUGGAGAUUUUUCUAUCCAAAUCCCGGUCAAAAAACCGAUGAUCUCCCGGCCAAAAAGCCGUGGAGCCUUUUCUUUUCCAAAUCCCGACCAAAAAACCAUGGAGCUUUUUCUAUCCAAAACCCGACCAAAAACCCGAGGGUCUCCCGGUCAAAAAAUCGUGGAGCUUUUUCUAUCCAGAUCCCGAUCAAAAAACCGUGGAGCUUUUUCUCUCCAAAACCCGACCAAAACCUGAGGAUCUCCCGCCCAAAAAACCAUGGACCUUUUCUAUCCAAAUCCCGGCCAAAAAACCGAGGAUCUCCCAGCCAAAAACUAUGGAGAUUUUGCUUUUUAAAAUUCCGGCCAAAGACCAUGGAGUUUUUGUUUUCCAAAAUCCGAUUGAAAAACCGAGAAUCUCUUGGCUCCGUAGAGCCUAUUCUAGUUUGAUUGUUGUAUGUGUCACAACUGACUCAUAAAAAUUUUCCUAGUAAAACUGGGGCAGAAAAAUUCUUUCGUUUGUUUGUUUUGGUACUUUUAAAUAAGUUUGACUGCAAAGCACAAGGUGCGACGUGACCGAAAGAAUGAGUCUCAAUCCAGAAUAAAGAAAAAGGGAAAAGAACAAAAGAAAUAACUGAAAGUGCUGAAGUGGAGAAGGACGCGAACUGAUCAAGAUAUGAUUAAAGUCACGGGCUUCGCAUGUCCCGCCUUGAUCCAAAGCUGAAGAAUGCACCAGCGGUAAUAGCUGACGAGCAUCAAGAUUCAGAUUAGAGUCUGCCUUAAGAACCAGCCAAUACUCAAGAUAAAGCUUCAAGAAAUUUAUAGAUAGGAAUCUUGUUACUCAUAACUUCACAACAAUGAAAUCACAACUUUUGAUAGUCCCAGAUACCAAACACUCCCGAACUACACUGACCUGAUUCCUGUUUAGCUCAGGAUAUGUAGGCAACCUCUGAAGCAGGGUGCGGUCAACCUUUUCAAAAAUGAUUCACAUGGAACUUUCAAACGGGCAAAAAUCGCUCGUAUUUGCUCACUUGUCUUUGCACGAAAACUCUUCGUGAUUCCGAGCAAAGAGUGGCAGCUGUGAGCACGUGAUUUUUCCCUACAUAUAAAUAAUUCCCAAAAAUUCAAAUAAAAUGAAUUUUUCUUAUUUUUACAAUUUGUGUGAAUUUUUGUCAUUUUCUGUUAUUUGUUUGCAUUUUAUUUGCGCGUGUUAAUUUUCAUGAAAAUACAAAAAUAUACAUUUAAAUUUUAGGAUUUAAUUCUGCAUUUUAGGAUUAAUUAUCAAAUUAGUUAUUUUUUAGAAAACAAAACGAAUGAAAAAUCAUCACAAAAAUAGUUUAUUUCGCACUUUUUAGUUUUAGUCUUGAAUUUUGAUGGUUUUUAUUUUAAUUGGAUUUUUAAUUAAUUAUGGUAUUUGGGGGUCAAUUAAUUCAAUUUGAUAGCUUAAUUUGAUUUUUAGUUUUAAUUUAGGUUUUUACUUUGGGGAAAAACAAGAAAAAGGAAUUAAAAGAGUUGGAAAUUAAAGAAAAGGAAAAGGAAGAAAAGGAGUAGGUUGCCCAAAUUGGGCCCAAAUAUGAUCAACCCAAGCAAAAUAAUCCGAGGUCCAACCCAAGCCCUUCACCUGGUCCAAAUGACCAUGCCAUCAAGACCAGCAAAACGACGUAGUAUAAGACAAAUACAACUUUGUUUUGAGUUAAGCAAAGGCUCAAUCAAUCCCAGCCAUUCAUUUCUCAUAAUCCAAUGGCCACGAACUGAUCUCAUACAUGGAUAAAAUUGUCCUAAAAUCCCCCAGUAACCCCGGACCAAGCUCAUCUUCCUCGUACCUUUUUGUUGCACCACCGUCUGCCGCCGCCGGAUAUCGCCCAUUGCGGUGGCGAAGGUCCAAUCAACCUCAAAUGUCUACCCCAUAACCCUCUCUUCUUCCCCGUUCCACUCCCAUCAUCAUCUUCUCCCAAAAACUAGCCCAAAUCUUCGAAUUUCAAAUCUGAAAAUUAGUGAAAAACCCUAGUCCGUACAAAUCCUACAAAAUCGAUACUAAACGAUUCCCUGACCUCCCUUUCCAUGCUUCAUGGGCUUAAAAUUCUUCGAGCCACUCUGAAGUUAAUCUAAUAGUGGGUAAAGGGUGUUAUCAAUUUGGGGAAGCUUUGAAGAUUUUUGAGGUCGAGUCGAUUUUUCGUUAACAUUAUUUGCUUAUUUUGGGUUAAAUAGGCAAAUAACAUUAACCGGAUUUCGAUUACGAUGGGGUUUUUCCGGGCGAAGUCUGUGUAAGUUUCUUAUUUAGUUUUUCUUGGUUUCCUUUGUUUGUCUUUGUUAGUUUUUCGUGUAAUUCAUGUUCCCUCUGUCCUCUCACUUUAUUUCCAUUUAACCAGUUUUUUAAAACAAAUAAAUUUUUUUAGUUAGGCUCACCCCUUUUGAUUGAUCAGAUGUAUUUCGUGAGUUUCUGUUGUGGUUCACCUCUUUGAUUCUCUGAUUAAUCCUUUAGUGCAAUACUUAGUUUGGUUGAAGCAUGUUUUCCUUGUGUGUUCUUCUUUUCUUCUUAUGUUCAAGCAAUGUAAUUUAGGUAAUCAAUUGCUAAUUAGUUGUUAGUUUUAGUUAAUUUCAGUUGACUUUUGUUAGAUAAACUCAUUUGGAUUUAUUUCAGUUAAGUGUUAGUUGUUUAGUGUUUGUGAGUAUUAUUUAGUUUCUUUGUUAGGUUGUAUGAAUUGGAUAUAGCUUUAUUUUAGUUAACUUGGGUUAAAAUCAUAACUGGGGUAAGGGAGUUGGGCCAGUUAGCUUAGGUUGUAAUUUUCAGGGCAGUAGAAGGGCAUUUUAGGGAUGGAAAAUGGCAAUAUCUUUAGGAAAAGUAAAUUCAAGACAAGAAAGGAGUAAUAUAGGAAUUGCCUAGCCAAAAGAGCAUACUAGAGGCUUCUAGAAUAGGGUACAAUUGUAGAUUUCAGCUUUUUAGUAACACUUGCUUGGGUAGCAAGUUAGAAAUAGAAGGGUUAAAAUAAAAAGAAAGAGGGACUGAUUUGAAAAUCCUACUGCUGAUUUUUCAUCUUUGUUUAUCUAUAAAAAGAAUCAUUUGCAUGAAAAGGGGGGUUCAAUGUUUUUUAGCUUUAAAAAUCCCAGAGAAUUCCAGCCACUUGAAUAUCAUUUUCCUUUUCAUUUUUCAGUUUCCAAUUCGAAAUUCCAAGUGCAAAACCCCAAAACAAUAGAAAAACCAAAGAAAAACCUAAAUAUAAUAGUGUUCCAUUGCAUUUUUAGUUCAGUUGCAAGGUGUGGUGUGAAUUUGUAUAGCUUUGUUUCAAGUUCUGAUUGCUGAAGUUUCAGAUCAUGUUUGGCUGUCAUUUCAACUCAUUUUGGGUAUAUACGAGCUAGCCUGGUUUUUUUCUGGUGUUGAUCUUCGCUUCUGGAACUGAUCUGCUGGUUUUUUUUGAAUUUGGUUUUGAACAUUUUGAACCAUUUAAACUGCAUCUGAGCUGCUGUUGUUUUCUAUUGCUUCGAUUUGCUGUUUUGAACUGCUGCUGACCAUCCUCGUUUCUUCUGUUACUUUGCACUUCCAGGUACUUCUUUGGCUAUGUAUGAACUAUGCCUAAUCAGUGUAGAUCUGACUUGAAGGAUUGAAUGCUAAAAUAGAGUUGAUUUGAUUUCCAAAGCUUAUCCUAUUUUUUCAUAGUUUGGAGGUGUAUAAUUGUCAUGUUAUUAGAAACUAGGCCUCAUUUGUGUAAUUGGGAAUGCCUUAACCUGCUUGUUUUGAAUCGACGAAUUCUUUAUCAUAUUGUAUGAGUAUUCAUCUAGUAGAUUGAUACCAGAAAGUCGGCUCUUAGAAGUUUAGUUUGAAUAAUCGAAGUUUGAGUAUAGAAUUUCAAUAUGUUAGUUUAAAUGACAUUGUUUGUUUCGAGAUCAGUUGGUCUCUGUUAAUUCUUUGUUAUUAGAUCAUGUUAUCAGGUGCUAGUUUGAGACCAUAUUUGAAUUAGUGAUAUUGUUGGCCCAGUCAGUCAAUAAAUCAAAUAGGGCCAUUUGAAUGGAUUAUUGUUAGAUUCUGAAUGGGCUAGUGUAACACCUUUGAUUUGUGCAAAUAAUUGAUAAUAAAUGGCUACAAUUCAUUCUCUAACAGUCAGGAAGUAAUUGAAGAAGCUAGUGUUAAACUUGUAUUUUUAAGUAUAUAAUAAUAGUUUCUCACUUGUAUUUGAUUGGCUAAAAACGACGAGUUCGAAGCGGCAAACUGGCAUUUGGAUUGAUUGUGAGUGAAAGGC
Molecule: long non-coding RNA, 13168 nt
Filed under: Nicotiana benthamiana
Lineage: Eukaryota; Viridiplantae; Streptophyta; Magnoliopsida; Solanales; Solanaceae
Description: long non-coding RNA (NBEN_LNC029969)
Source: RNAcentral